CUCAUUCAUUGCAUCUCCGAAAACGUAGAGAAAGUAAGUUCUUUGUAGGUAACGGUAAUCAUAGCUGAAAAUGAAAACUAUUGUAUUGAUGGCGUUUCUUGCUCUCUUAUCAGCUGAAACACUGGGUAAUACUGUGCUUGUAGACUGGCCUACAUUAAAAAACCUGCUUGUGCGUCAGGUUGACAAGGGUGUAGAAAAUUUUGCUUCUGCUACUGCUAAUGAUAAUAUUUUUAAAGUCGUCGAAGAAACGUGCCCAAAAUGCAGUUACGAGCAAAAAUUCAAGAUGGCCUCAUGGAUUAACGCGUUUCAAAACGGUGUUUCUAUAGAAGAGGCGAACAAAUUGUAUAAUCCUGAUAACAAAUACUUCGAUACAGCUUUCAUCAAUAAAUAAAUGUUUAUUUAAACUAAAGUGGCUUAUAA
Maniola jurtina (meadow brown) is the source of this 420-nucleotide long non-coding RNA. RefSeq lists it as uncharacterized. Lineage: Eukaryota; Metazoa; Arthropoda; Insecta; Lepidoptera; Nymphalidae. The record is from RefSeq and is a predicted model, not a curated record. The transcript has 3 exons.